This 518-nucleotide ribosomal RNA is filed under the name uncultured Spartobacteria bacterium. RNAcentral describes it as "bacterial SSU rRNA". It matches the Rfam family "Bacterial small subunit ribosomal RNA", at positions 521 to 1033 of the family's 1533-position model. The record is from RNAcentral. Lineage: Bacteria; Pseudomonadati; Verrucomicrobiota; Spartobacteria.
UAAUACAGAGGUCUCGAGCGUUGUUCGGAUUCAUUGGGCGUAAAGGGUGCGUAGGUGGUCGUGUAAGUCGGAUGUGAAAUCCCGGGGCUCAACCCCCGGAACUGCAUUCGAUACUGCUUGGCUUGAGUACUGGAGAGGAGAUCGGAAUUUACGGUGUAGCAGUGAAAUGCGUAGAUAUCGUAAGGAAGACCAGUGGCGAAGGCGGAUCUCUGGACAGUUACUGACACUGAGGCACGAAGGCCAGGGGAGCAAACGGGAUUAGAUACCCCGGUAGUCCUGGCAGUAAACGGUGCGCGUUUGGUGUGGGAGGAUUCGACCCCUUCCGUGCCGGAGCUAACGCGUUAAACGCGCCGCCUGGGGAGUACGGUCGCAAGAUUAAAACUCAAAGAAAUUGACGGGGGCCCGCACAAGCGGUGGAGUAUGUGGCUUAAUUCGAUGCAACGCGAAGAACCUUACCUGGCCUUGACAUGCAUCUCUAAGUCGGUGAAAGCCGGCGAGUGUAGCAAUACACAAUUUGC